CCUACGGGAGACUGCAGUGAGGAAUAUUGGUCAAUGGACGCAAGUCUGAACCAGCCAAGCCGCGUGAAGGAAGACGGUACAGAGCGUCGUAAACUGCUUUUGUCAGGGGACAAAGACAGGUACGCGUACCUGGCUGAAUGUAUCUGAAGAAUAAGCAUCGGCUAACUCCGUGCCAGCCGCCGCGGUAAUACGGAGGAUUCGAGCGUUAUCCGGAUUUAUUGGGUUUAAAGGGUGCGUAGGCGGUCGGUUAAGUUAGAGGUGAAAUCCCGGGGCUCAACGCCGGGACUGCCUUUGAUACUGGUCGUCUCGAGGUGGGUGACAGUAGGCGGAAUGUAUGGUGUAGCGGUGAAAUGCAUAGAGAUCGCACAGAACACCGAUUGCGAAGGCAGCAUACCGGG
RNAcentral lists this ribosomal RNA (398 nucleotides) under uncultured bacterium. RNAcentral describes it as "partial 16S ribosomal RNA". It matches the Rfam family "Bacterial small subunit ribosomal RNA", at positions 338 to 733 of the family's 1533-position model. The record is from RNAcentral.